This 463-nucleotide ribosomal RNA is filed under the name Vreelandella stevensii. RNAcentral's name for it is "partial 16S ribosomal RNA". It matches the Rfam family "Bacterial small subunit ribosomal RNA", at positions 338 to 795 of the family's 1533-position model. The record is from RNAcentral. Lineage: Bacteria; Pseudomonadati; Pseudomonadota; Gammaproteobacteria; Oceanospirillales; Halomonadaceae.
CCUACGGGGGGCUGCAGUGGGGAAUAUUGGACAAUGGGCGAAAGCCUGAUCCAGCCAUGCCGCGUGUGUGAAGAAGGCCUUCGGGUUGUAAAGCACUUUCAGUGGGGAAGAAAGCCUUGGGGCUAAUACCCUCGAGGAAGGACAUCACCCACAGAAGAAGCACCGGCUAACUCCGUGCCAGCAGCCGCGGUAAUACGGAGGGUGCGAGCGUUAAUCGGAAUUACUGGGCGUAAAGCGCGCGUAGGCGGUCUGAUAAGCCGGUUGUGAAAGCCCCGGGCUCAACCUGGGAACGGCAUCCGGAACUGUCAGGCUAGAGUGCAGGAGAGGAAGGUAGAAUUCCCGGUGUAGCGGUGAAAUGCGUAGAGAUCGGGAGGAAUACCAGUGGCGAAGGCGGCCUUCUGGACUGACACUGACGCUGAGGUGCGAAAGCGUGGGUAGCAAACAGGAUUAGAUACCCGUAGUC